RNAcentral lists this ribosomal RNA (479 nucleotides) under Arthrobacter sp. pectinolitic_27. Its description in RNAcentral is "partial 16S ribosomal RNA". Lineage: Bacteria; Bacillati; Actinomycetota; Actinomycetes; Micrococcales; Micrococcaceae. The record is from RNAcentral.
GAGGAUCGGGGCUUCUUCUGCAGGUACCGUCACUUACGCUUCUUCCCUACUGAAAGAGGUUUACAACCCGAAGGCCGUCAUCCCUCACGCGGCGUCGCUGCAUCAGGCUUCCGCCCAUUGUGCAAUAUUCCCCACUGCUGCCUCCCGUAGGAGUCUGGGCCGUGUCUCAGUCCCAGUGUGGCCGGUCACCCUCUCAGGCCGGCUACCCGUCGUCGCCUUGGUAGGCCAUUACCCCACCAACAAGCUGAUAGGCCGCGAGUCCAUCCAAAACCGCAAAAGCUUUCCACCAACCACCAUGCGAUGAUCAGUCAUAUCCGGUAUUAGACCCAGUUUCCCAGGCUUAUCCCAGAGUCAAGGGCAGGUUACUCACGUGUUACUCACCCGUUCGCCACUAAUCCCCCCACAAGUGAGGAUCAUCGUUCGACUUGCAUGUGUUAAGCACGCCGCCAGCGUUCAUCCUGAGCCAUGAUCAAACUCUA